AAAUUAAGCAUAUCAGUAAGCGGAGGAAAAGAAACUAACCAGGAUUCUCCUAGUAACGGCGAGUGAACGGAGAUUAGCCCAUCACCGAAGUCUAUCCGCUUUUGUGGAAAGGACAAUGUGGUGUUCAGGCGUGUACCUGGGAUCGUUUGCCUACUCGAAGUCCAGCUCUGAUUUUGGCAUGGACUGUUCCGGAGCGGGUGAAAGGCCCGUGCGGGUAGGCUAAGCGAUCCUCAGAUGUACAUGCCUUCGAGUCGGAUUGCUUGAGAAUGCAGUCCAAAGUGGGUGGUAAACUCCAUCCAAGGCUAAAUACUGGCACGAGUCCGAUAGUAGACAAGUACCUUGAGGGAAAGUUGAAAAGUACUCUGAAGAGAGAGUAAACAGCACGUGAAGCCGCUUGCAGGGAAGCUGGUGGAGUCAAGCUUCUUGUCCUUGAAAUUAUCCUCAGAGGACGUGUGUCUCGGGACGUGGCGUUGGUGAACCUGGAAAUGGUUUAGUGCAUUCGCGUGCGCUUCAAGUCAUUCUGGGUUGGAUGUUUGUGCUGGCGCCUAUCUCCCUCCUCUGUUGCUAUAUUUCUUGGACAUACAUCAUGGUCGAUGGAGGUGUACAGUGUGAGUGCUUAACUGUGCUCUCGCCUGCUUCGCGGCAGGCUGAGCAUGGAACGGCAGAAGGUGCAUGCAAAGCUUGUCUUUGCAUUGCGCAUAUUGUGGUUUUGACCUGCUAGUGCUCAUGCCUUGUAUCUAAUCUAUCGUUCUUCUGCGCUGCCUGAUCUUAGGAUCAAGCGGUACUGAGAGCCAUGAUGCUGAGGUAGACUUUCCACCCGACCCGUCUUGA
This 831-nucleotide ribosomal RNA is filed under the name Dactylogyrus aspili. RNAcentral's name for it is "eukaryotic LSU rRNA". It matches the Rfam family "Eukaryotic large subunit ribosomal RNA", at positions 31 to 657 of the family's 3401-position model. The record is from RNAcentral. Lineage: Eukaryota; Metazoa; Platyhelminthes; Monogenea; Dactylogyridea; Dactylogyridae.